AACGAACGCUGGCGGCAUGCCUAACACAUGCAAGUCGAACGAAGCCUUCGGGCUUAGUGGCGCACGGGUGCGUAACGCGUGGGAAUCUGCCCUUGGGUUCGGAAUAACAGUUAGAAAUGACUGCUAAUACCGAAUGAUGUCUUCGGACCAAAGAUUUAUCGCCCAAGGAUGAGCCCGCGUCGGAUUAGCUAGUUGGUGAGGUAAAGGCUCACCAAGGCGACGAUCCGUAGCUGGUCUGAGAGGAUGAUCAGCCACACUGGGACUGAGACACGGCCCAGACUCCUACGGGAGGCAGCAGUGGGGAAUAUUGGACAAUGGGCGAAAGCCUGAUCCAGCAAUGCCGCGUGAGUGAUGAAGGCCUUAGGGUUGUAAAGCUCUUUUACCCGGGAUGAUAAUGACAGUACCGGGAGAAUAAGCCCCGGCUAACUCCGUGCCAGCAGCCACGGUAAU
Molecule: ribosomal RNA, 450 nt
Filed under: uncultured bacterium
Lineage: Bacteria
Description: bacterial SSU rRNA
Rfam family: Bacterial small subunit ribosomal RNA
Source: RNAcentral